GACGAACGCUGGCGGCGUGCUUAACACAUGCAAGUCGAACGGAAAGGCCCUGCUUUUGUGGGGUGCUCGAGUGGCGAACGGGUGAGUAACACGUGAGUAACCUGCCCUUGACUUUGGGAUAACUUCAGGAAACUGGGGCUAAUACCGGAUAGGAGCUCCUGCUGCAUGGUGGGGGUUGGAAAGUUUCGGCGGUUGGGGAUGGACUCGCGGCUUAUCAGCUUGUUGGUGGAGUAGUGGCUUACCAAGGCUUUGACGGGUAGCCGGCCUGAGAGGGUGACCGGCCACAUUGGGACUGAGAUACGGCCCAGACUCCUACGGGAGGCAGCAGUGGGGAAUAUUGCACAAUGGGCGGAAGCCUGAUGCAGCAACGCCGCGUGCGGGAUGACGGCCUUCGGGCUGUAAACCGCUUUCGCCUGUGACGAAGCGUGAGUGACGGUAAUGGGUAAAGAAGCACCGGCUAACUACGUG
RNAcentral lists this ribosomal RNA (468 nucleotides) under uncultured bacterium. RNAcentral describes it as "partial 16S ribosomal RNA". It matches the Rfam family "Bacterial small subunit ribosomal RNA", at positions 28 to 507 of the family's 1533-position model. The record is from RNAcentral.